Chinchilla lanigera (long-tailed chinchilla) is the source of this 600-nucleotide long non-coding RNA. RefSeq lists it as uncharacterized. The transcript is spliced from 5 exons. NCBI's taxonomy places the organism in Eukaryota, Metazoa, Chordata, Mammalia, Rodentia, Chinchillidae. The record is from RefSeq and is a predicted model, not a curated record.
GGCGGGGCUGACGUCAGUGCCCAGUGCCGCCUGAGCGGAGCGGGACCAGUGUGAAACCCCAGCUCCUGAACCUUGCAGAAGAAAACCCGGAAGACUGGAAACCAAGGGCUUUGCCACUCUUGUCUGGCUCAUAUGUGUACUUCCGUGGAAAACACAGUUUCACAAAGAACCCUAGGAGAUGAUUUGAGGAGGGAAAUUGACUGACUCUCCAAAUGAGUGACCAUCUCAUAGGAAAGCCAUCCAGGCUAUAUCUAAUUCUUCAGUAUCAGAUUUACACUCAGAGCCACUGAGGUCUGUGAUGUUCAAGUCCUAUUAUCCUCUGCACCUUCCUGGAGAUGAAGAUGUACCGUUUCAAACUGAAAGCAAAACACACCCCAUCUCUGUCCCCAAGAAUUCUCUCCAAGAUACUGACACCAGUUCUGCAAAGCUUCAGGCUGCUGAUUUUACCAGGAAGGCAAUAGAAGUUUUGAAACCAUGUUCAUAUAUGUAAAUCCAAUGGCAGUGUACAACCUGAGAUACCCUUCCAUGUAAGUUGUAUUUAUUUCCCAGAUGGCAAAUAGAAGAAACUGUGCAUAAUAAAAAAAAUGAUAAAACAUAAAA